GGGGCGCUGGCUUCCCAGAGGGCUCGGGGCGAAAGUUUCACCUCGGCUGCUCGCUGGGGUGAGCAAGGAGCGCGGAGCCCGGGAUGGAGAGAGCGAGCUCUGGUUCCUGAGGCCUCGCUCCCGAAAAGCCCCAGCAGAAGAACGUAUGAAGAGCCAUGAAAAUGGAGACUUGCUCCUUCCUGCACCUGUGACUCCUCCAUGGCCCAGGACGCCUCAAUAACACGUCCUGCCCCUGUGAGGGGCCCUAUCUAGCCCAGGCCCCCUCGGCCCAUGGCCCCCCAGCCCUGCGGGGGUGGGUGGGAAGGGGUGAUUACCUAGCUGCUGAGGAGGAGGUGAGAGGGGACGAGAGGUACGGCAGAUCCCCACCACCACCACGCCGCCGUCCUGGGCUCUUUUCACAUUGUGCUACUGUCUGAGCCCCUGCCAAGCAGUGCAAUGUCAAAAGGGCAUCGGGCAGGCGGUGCCAGCAGCGCCUGACCCAGUCCGUCCACCACUCUGCCUCUGGGGGUCUGGGUGGAAGGAGGGCAGAGCGAGGAUCUGUAGGGGAACACAGACCACCCUUCCCAGAGUGGGGCAGAAGAGGGGAUGAAGGGGGUGCUGUGCUCAUGGCAGGGGGCUUUGAUGCUGAGGAGGAGUGCUGGGCUUGGGGCAGGGGUUUCAGGAACUCAGUGGCCAAGCAACCUAAUGAGCUCAUUUGGUUCAAUAUCCCUAAGUGACUGUGCUCCCUGAUGGAACUGAAGGGCCACCAGGUCACCAAUGAACCCCUGUAGCUCCAGCAGCACAGCGGCUGCUCAGUGCAUUCCGUAUUACCAGCUGCACCAGACCCGCUUCCUGCUGGCCCUUGCCCCACUCAUUGCAAGCUCCACAACAGCUCUUCCCUUUGGACUCCUGCCCCCUGGCCCUGACUAAUGGCUUGUCCCCUGGCCACAACUGCACUUCUGCCCUCUGAUUCUGCUCCGACCCCUUGGUCUCACCACCUACACCUUGGGAUGUGACCGUUUGCUAGAAGGUAGCAGGAGCUUUGCUGCACAGCACGGCGCUUCCGUGCAGAAUGGCCCUAGCAGUUUACCCCACCUUUGCAGAUGUUGUUGGAGUCCUGCAGGAACUGCACACUCAAGUUGCCAUCCUGCGUGACCAGAAUGCUCCCUCCGGGCCCAGGUACAAGCCCAGGCAGUGUCUUCUGUCCCCACAACUCUUGCAUCCAUUUUCCGUGAGCCCGAGUUCCCCUUACCCAGUAAGUUGGAUGGGGAUUGUGCCAAAUGUCAUGGGUUCCUUAACCAAUGUCAUCGCCAGUUCAUGUUGUGGCCAGUUGGACCUCACAGCUCAGUUCCAAGUGGGAUUAGUUCUCAGUCUGUUCCGAGGAGAGGCCCUGACGUGAGUGUCUCCUUUCCUGGAAGGGAGCAGUCCUCUCCUUGAACACUGCGGGAGCUUUGUACGGGCUGGGGUGGGCGUCUCCAUGGACCCUAAUGGAGAAUGUACAGCGGAAGCAGCUCUCCACGCCCUCUGGCAGAGGGUCGGGUCCAUCGCAGCAGAAUUCCAGGGUCUGGCCACAGACACUCACUGGAAUGAGGCUGUGCCAUGACACCACUUCAGGCAGGUACUCCACAAUUCUGUCAACGAUGAAUUAGCACAGGUGGAACCUCCGCCUCCUCUAGCAGCUUUAAUUGAGCUUUGCAUCCAGAUUGAUGGUCAACCAACGGAGCCAGCUCAAGAAAAGCAACAGGCCACCUGACCCCCACUGCCCAGAACGCUCCUGUCUCCUGCAGUCCCAGAUGUCCUAUCAGAUCCUGAACCAAUGCAGGUUGACCAAAUCCUGACCCACCUUUUCACUGCUGAAAAGAACUGUCGUCAGGCAUUGGGGUUGUGUUUGUAUGGGGGGGGAGGGGGUUGGACCCCUUGGGAAACCACCUGAUGUUCUGAGAUAUCACUAAGUCAGAGGGGGGCAAACUAUGGCUCACGGGCCACAUCCAGCCUGCCGGACACUUCCCUCUGGUCCCCGGAGCUCCUGCCAGGGAGUGGGGUCAGGACAGGCUUGUGGAGGAGCCAACCCGGCAGCACGGUGAGCAGGGUGGAGUCUAGCCCUUGGCUCCUCCCCUUCUGCUCCCCUUGCUCCCUGCCUCCCUCACAGUCACAGUCCCCCAGCGCCUGGGCUGUGUGUCUGCAGCUCCGGCCAGGCGGCUUGGCUAUAGCACCGCCUGACCUGGUGCUCCAGGGUGGCGCUGUCGGGGCGGGGAGCAGGGGGAGUUCUGGGGGAGAGGUUACAGGAGAGCGGUCAAGGGGCCUGGACCCUGCUGCCAGGGACAGGGGCAGAGCAAUCCAGGGCCCCCCUCCACCCCAAGCAUGCUUGGCCCUUGCCCCUAGCAGCCAAGCGCGGAUAGGGAGCGAGCCCUGUCCGACUGCCGGGGAGAGCAGCCAAACGAGCAGGGGAAAUACACAGGGAAGGGACUGAGCCCCCCGUCCCCCACCCCACACAUAAUGUGGGGUGGGGAGAGCAGGGUGGGUUGAGUGGGGACCGGGGGGAUUGGAUAGAGGUGGGGGUUCCAGGGGUGGGGAGCAGGGGGGAUUGGAUAGCGGAUGAGUGUCCUGGGAGGAUGGUGAGGGGGCAGAGAGCAGGGUUAUUUGGAUAGGAUUUAGGAGUCAAGGGGGGCAGUCGGGUGGGGAGCAGUGGGGGUUGGAUUGGGGCCAGACCACGCCUCACUGUUUGGGGAGGCAUAGCCACCCCCAGCCUUCCCUACUCGGCCCUUCAUACAAUUUCUAUAUCUGAUGUGGCCCUAGGGCCAAAAAGUUUGCCUACCCCUGCACUAAGUCCACCUGUUCUGCUAGUGUGAGCCCCCUUUCAAUCAUGGAAUAUUAGGGUUGGACGGACCUCAGGAGGUCAUCUAGUCCAACCCCCUGCUCAAGGUAGGACCAUUCCCCAGACAGAUUUUUACCCCAGUUUCGUAAAGGGCCCCCUCAAGAAUUUGAGCUCACAACCCUGGGUUUAGCAGGCCAAUGCUCAAACCACUGAGUUAUCCCUCCCCUCUUUAACUUGUCUUGCUGAGCCAGGCUCUUAAAACCUCCACUAACACACACACAGGCAGGGCCACACCCAGCUGCAGCUCAGCUCUGGGAAGACUCAGCUUCAGAGACUUGCUCCAGCACUGAGAUGUCCACCUCCCUUGGAGCGCAGACCCAAAAAUAUAGUAUGAAAUUCGCCCCCUCCCUCAAUGUGGAGAGAGGUGUGCACAGUUCCCCCUCCCCUGCCCGCCUGCUAAACUUACAGAAACUGGGUUUAAUAAUAAACCAAAUUUUAUUAACUAUAAAAGGCAGAUUUUAAGUGGUAAAAAGGGCAAAAAACAGAACAAAGCAGAUUACUAAGCAAAUGAAACCAAAUGCACAAACUAAGCUAGUUUUGCUAAAGGAAUUGGUUUACAAAUAGUAUUUCUCACCCUAGAUAGUGUGGCAGGCAGUUUGCAAAGUUUCUGUGGUUCAGAGUUCCAGUUCUAUUCCUUUUCAGACUGGACCCCGUCUCAGUCUGGACUCCCCCCUUGCCUUCCCUUUUGCAGUCUUUCUUCUUGGGCAGACAGGCCAUGGAGAGGAGGAGUCCUGUUUGCCUUCCUCCCCACCCUUAAAUAGGAUUUACAUAAGGUGGGAAUCAUUUAUUUCCCAAAACUGAACCCCCUUUCCCUUAUAGUGGAAAGUUACCAGAAGUCCCAGGUAAUGUUUCAGUGUCAGGUGACAAGACCACCUGACUCUGUAGGAUCACAGCGUCCAUGAGUCAGUGGCAGUAUGGAGCAUCCACAGGAUGACCAAGCUUUUCACACUAUUGUCCCUGUUGACAGGCCAUCUGCCUUGUCUGACUUUUCCAUUGUUGUACCUGAAGUGUUAGCAGUGGGCGUCACCCAUAGUUGAAAUACAAGUAUAUAGUCAAUAUUCCAAACUUCAGAUACAGAAAUGAUACAGGCAUACAAAUUGGAUAAUUGCUUUCAGUAAAUCAUAACCUUCCCAAAGGUUCUUCCCAAACCUUCUCACAUGAGCCAUCUUGCAUAAAGUAUGUCUCAGUUAUGCCAUAUUCAUAUAUGCAUAUUUUCAUAAAGAAUAUGGAAUGACACAUCACAGGGGGUGCCUGGGCACAUUGCAUCAGAGUGCCUAGCCGAGGUCCAGGAAAUGCUAGAACCCAGCCCCAGUAGGGAAGCUAGGGUUGAGUCAGUGCUCCGCUAUUCCCUACGGUGAAUCGUGCUGCUGCCUAUCUUGGCAUCCCCUAACCAGCAUGCCAGCCUGCUACAUCUGCCUCUUCAGCAUGUGCCAUGCCAGACAUCCAUCUAGGGGCCUUGGCCAGCUUGGACACUUCUGGUAAUUUUAUGGACCAGGACUUUAUGGAGCCUCGAAUUCCCAACCUCUGCAAGGUGUUCCCUGAGCUUGUUGAGGUUAUAGAUGGGUCAUUCCUAUCUUCAGGCCCCAUCAUGCAUCAAACAAUCCACCUGGAGGGCAUCGGCAUUGGCAGUCAUCGAGAGAUCUUGCAGUUCAGGGUCAUCUGCGCUUUGCAUUCACCGGUCAUCCUUGGUGUCUCCUGGCUCGUUGCCCAUAAACCCCAAGUUAGCUGGCACUUGCGAUCUUUACUUUUCUAGUCCCUGCUGUGCCGAUGAGCAUGCUUUCCCAACUCUAGUGAAUGGCUAGUCACAUUCUGUGGCAUGCUCCAGUCCUCGAAAGAUCUAGAACUGCCAACCAAAGUUUCAUUGGCAGUGCCCGGGAUUCCUGCCGAGUACAUAGAAUAUGCCGUAGUGCUUGACAAACAGAAAGCAGACGCUCUACUUCUUCAGCACAGUGAUGAUUGCACAAUUGACCUUCACAAUUGCACAAUUGUUCCUUUUGUGUGCAUUUACACCUUAUCUGCACCCCAGCUGCAGGUCCUCCAGGAGUAGCUUGAGGAAAAUCUGUGGAAGAGGUUCAUUGUCCCUUGACUUCCUGAGUGGCAGCACGUCUUUGUGGCUAAGAAGGAUGGCUCCCUCCCUUAUAUUGAUUAUUGAACCUUUAACAAGAUCAUAGUCUGUGACUGAUGCCCCUUUUCGUAAAUAAACUGGAAAGACUCUCAGUCAGGUCUUCACAAAGCUAGACUGGCGGCCAUACAACCUGUCAGAAUCCAGCAAGGGAAUGUGUGAUGCUGAGGACCAUUGGCCAGCUCAUGCCAAGGCCCUUAGAUCUCAACUGAACGCUGGCAAAUAUAUAGCUGGAACCAGCCUGGCUCACCCAUGUGUUAAUAUUGUUAAAGUACGUAUUAGAGUUAUAAAAAUGUGUUGUUGCAUGCGCUAAUCUAAUAUAAUAUCUGUAUCCUGUGUUACAAGGUAACAAAUACGACAAGGAAUCCGGUGGCACCUUAAAGACUAACAGAUUUAUUUGGGCAUAAACUUUCAUGGGUAAAAAACCAAGAAGUGAGGUUUUUUACGAACAAAAGCUUAUGCCCAAAUAAAUCUGUUAGUUUUUAAGGUGCCACCGGACUCCUUAUGUUUUUGGAUACAGACUAACAUGGCUACCCAGAUACUUGACAUCAUGUAAGGUAACAAAUGUUUGCUCUGUAACUUUAACUCACCAGACAGAUGAGAAGCAUUACCAAGUGUGAAAUACUAGCUUGCCACAGGAGGUGUUCUCUCUUGUCCAACAAAAGAAGACCCAUCAACACCAGAUGAACUGUUGUGGAACAUCAGAGGACAAAAGACUUUGUUGAUUGGCCCCCUUACCGCGCCCCACCCCCCAAAGAAGAGACAGGCAGCUGAAUUUGCAACUCAGCAGAAGGGGGAAAGGAAUAAAAAGCCCUAACAAGGAGGAACUGUAUCCUCUGCUUGGAGUCUGAGGAGCGGGACUUACUAAGCAUAAGCAAAAGAUCCCCUGUGAUUGGCCUGGAUUAGCCCUAAGGGCACAGAGCUUGCUUAUUAUAGAAGCUUCUAUUACCUUUUGAAACUUAAGACAGGAACACAUUUGUGUGUACAGUUACCUGCUUUAACCUUCUAAAUAACUCUGUUUCCUUUGCCUAGUUAAUAAAUCUUCAGAUACUUUAUUUCAGGAUUGGUAAGACCCUUCAUUUUCAGUUUAAACUGAUUUUUAUUGAAAAAUUCUCAGGGUUUAAAAAUAGAAUUAUUCCGUUUUUUUCAGAUUUUCACUCUACUUUUGUAUCAUUCAAAUAUAUACAAAAUAACUAGUUUGAUUAGGAAAAUGCAGUAUAUGGCCUGAGCUAUAUGUAUUACGCUAAUACAUUAUUCUGUGUGUGUAUGGAAGGCUUCCCGCUGAAGUAAGGCUCUGUGUUGGUCUAGAAGAUAAAAUAAACAAAGAGGCGCACACGCAA
This is a long non-coding RNA of Gopherus flavomarginatus (Mexican gopher tortoise), 6316 nucleotides long. RefSeq lists it as uncharacterized. The record is from RefSeq and is a predicted model, not a curated record. The transcript is spliced from 2 exons. Lineage: Eukaryota; Metazoa; Chordata; Testudines; Testudinidae.